This 382-nucleotide ribosomal RNA is filed under the name uncultured eukaryote. RNAcentral's name for it is "partial 18S ribosomal RNA". It matches the Rfam family "Eukaryotic small subunit ribosomal RNA", at positions 592 to 976 of the family's 1831-position model. The record is from RNAcentral.
UGUAAGCGUAUACCAAAGUUGUUGCAGUUAAAACGCUCGUAGUCGGAAUUUGGCAGUUCCGGAAGUGUGCACGUCGUGUGCGCACUUUGCGGGGACUGCUUUUGUGGUCUUGCGUAGGAUGAGGCACUUUCAUUAGUGAACGUCCUCACGCAACCACUCUUUACUGUGAGAAAAUCAGAGUGCUCAAAGCAGGCGUUUGCCGUGAAUGUAUUAGCAUGGAAUAAUAGAAUAGGACUCGGUUCUAUUUUGUUGGUUUGUUGGGACUGAGUAAUGAUUAAGAGGGACAGUUGGGGGCAUUUGUAUUCCGGCGCUAGAGGUGAAAUUCUUAGAUUGCCGGAAGACAAACUGCUGCGAAAGCGUCUGCCAAGGAUGUUUUCAUUGA